CAAGACCAACACCCACACCAGUAAAUAUGGGUUUCCAGUAUCGAUCUCUUAGGACCUCCACCUUCACAGCAAUCUAUACAACCCCUUUUAAGCCCAGUUUAAAACAUAUACACAUUCACAUUCAUCAAAUCCUUAAUUAUUCAUAAAGGCAUAUACUCACGGUAUCGUCAUACCAAUUACUCUUGCAAGUUAAUAUCAUCAUAUAAUUCUAAGUAUCCAUCAACUUGGGGAAUCCGCG
RNAcentral lists this long non-coding RNA (238 nucleotides) under Capsicum annuum. RNAcentral describes it as "long non-coding RNA (CANN_LNC000518)". Lineage: Eukaryota; Viridiplantae; Streptophyta; Magnoliopsida; Solanales; Solanaceae. The record is from RNAcentral.